GCCCCUGUAGCUCAGUGGACAGAGCGCCCGGCUACGAACCGGGAGGUCGGACGUUCGAACCGUUCCAGGGGUA
RNAcentral lists this transfer RNA (73 nucleotides) under Plantactinospora sp. CNZ320. RNAcentral's name for it is "tRNA-Arg". It matches the Rfam family "tRNA". From Rfam's summary of the family: Transfer RNA (tRNA) molecules are approximately 80 nucleotides in length. Their secondary structure includes four short double-helical elements and three loops (D, anti-codon, and T loops). The record is from RNAcentral. Lineage: Bacteria; Bacillati; Actinomycetota; Actinomycetes; Micromonosporales; Micromonosporaceae.